UGGGGAAUAUUGCACAAUGGGCGCAAGCCUGAUGCAGCAACGCCGCGUGAGGGAUGACGGCCUUCGGGUUGUAAACCUCUUUUAGCAGGGAAGAAGCGAAAGUGACGGUACCUGCAGAAAAAGCACCGGCUAACUACGUGCCAGCAGCCGCGGUAAUACGUAGGGUGCAAGCGUUGUCCGGAAUUAUUGGGCGUAAAGAGCUCGUAGGCGGUCUGUCGCGUCUGCUGUGAAAUCCCGAGGCUCAACCUCGGGCCUGCAGUGGGUACGGGCAGACUAGAGUGCGGUAGGGGAGAAUGGAACUCCUGGUGUAGCGGUGGAAUGCGCAGAUAUCAGGAAGAACACCGAUGGCGAAGGCAGUUCUCUGGGCCGUAACUGACGCUGAGGAGCGAAAGCGUGGGGAGCGAACAGGAUUAGAUACCCUGGUAGUCCACGCCGUAAACGUUGGGCGCUAGAUGUGGGGACCAUUCCACGGUUUCCGUGUCGCAGCUAACGCAUUAAGCGCCCGCCUGGGGAGUACGGCCGCAAGGCUAAAACUU
Molecule: ribosomal RNA, 536 nt
Filed under: uncultured bacterium
Lineage: Bacteria
Description: partial 16S ribosomal RNA
Rfam family: Bacterial small subunit ribosomal RNA
Source: RNAcentral